UACAGAGGUCUCAAGCGUUGUCCGGAUUUAUUGGGCGUAAAGGAUGCGUAGGCGGACAUUUAAGUCAGAUGUGAAAUACCCGAGCUUAACUUGGGUGCUGCAUUUGAAACUGGGUGUCUAGAGUGCAGGAGAGGUAAGUGGAAUUCCUAGUGUAGCGGUGAAAUGCGUAGAGAUUAGGAAGAACACCAGUGGCGAAGGCGACUUACUGGACUGUAACUGACGCUGAGGCAUGAAAGCGUGGGGAGCAAACAGG
This 253-nucleotide ribosomal RNA is filed under the name uncultured bacterium. Its description in RNAcentral is "partial 16S ribosomal RNA". It matches the Rfam family "Bacterial small subunit ribosomal RNA", at positions 524 to 776 of the family's 1533-position model. The record is from RNAcentral.